This is a long non-coding RNA of Eleginops maclovinus (Patagonian blennie), 446 nucleotides long. RefSeq lists it as uncharacterized. The transcript has 3 exons. The record is from RefSeq and is a predicted model, not a curated record. NCBI's taxonomy places the organism in Eukaryota, Metazoa, Chordata, Actinopteri, Perciformes, Eleginopidae.
AAACAAACGUGGAGUCCAAAAUAACAGCUCCCCCUUUCAUGUAAAUCAAAGACACAUAUGGCUGUCAUGUUGUUGUGGAACAUGCUAGCUAACAGCUACUCAUUAAUAUCCAUCGGAGCCACUGUACCAUGGACUCGGAGGAGAUCGUGUUUGUGGUCACCUGACUAAUAUUCACAGAGGGUGAUCCUGCACUGGAGUGUUGUUCUCUUUCCGUCCUGCAGAUGGCGCCACCUGAACACAGUAAAGGCCAUCAGGCCUCCUCUGGGACUGAUCCUGUGGCUCAACUUGGGAAAAUGGACUGGCCGAAGGACCUUGUCUUUCGUAUAGACUGUUCUUUUUUAUUUUAUUCUCCAGUUCCCGAUUAGGAUCAGCAAUGUGGCUGCUCUAUUUUUAGUGAAGAUAUCAGAGUGAGGGAGAGAACAGACUCUGAAGGCUUUUUGCUUCGG